This 146-nucleotide non-coding RNA is filed under the name Jeotgalibaca sp. PTS2502. RNAcentral's name for it is "Lysine riboswitch aptamer". It matches the Rfam family "Lysine riboswitch aptamer". Rfam says of the family: Riboswitches are metabolite binding domains within certain messenger RNAs that serve as precision sensors for their corresponding targets. Allosteric rearrangement of mRNA structure is mediated by ligand binding, and this results in modulation of gene expression. This family includes riboswitches that sense lysine in a number of genes involved in lysine metabolism, including lysC. RNAcentral also lists the same sequence under 1 other name. Lineage: Bacteria; Bacillati; Bacillota; Bacilli; Lactobacillales; Carnobacteriaceae. The record is from Rfam by way of RNAcentral.
AUAUGAAUCAGAGGACGCGAAAACCAUCAGUAGGAUACGAAAGGGGAAUUCGCCGAAGUGCCGUUCAGGUGCUGGGUCUAUGCUGAAUAAGUAUAGGACUGUCGAGAUAAAAUGCCCAUUUUAUCUUUUGAAGCGCUGUUCAUAUU